GACGUAGGGCGCGAGCGUUGUUCGGAUUUACUGGGCGUAAAGGGCGCGUAGGCGGCCAGCACAAGUCAGUUGUGAAAUCUCCGAGCUUAACUCGGAACGGUCAACUGAUACUGUGCGGCUAGAGUGCAGAAGGGGCAACUGGAAUUCUUGGUGUAGCGGUGAAAUGCGUAGAUAUCAAGAGGAACACCUGCGGCGAAGGCGGGUUGCUGGGCUGACACUGACGCUGAGGCGCGAAAGCUAGGGGAGCGAACGGG
RNAcentral lists this ribosomal RNA (254 nucleotides) under uncultured bacterium. Its description in RNAcentral is "partial 16S ribosomal RNA". It matches the Rfam family "Bacterial small subunit ribosomal RNA", at positions 524 to 776 of the family's 1533-position model. The record is from RNAcentral.